AGCAGUCGCCGCGGGAAUACAGAGGGUGCAAGCGUUACUCGGAAUUACUGGGCGUAAAGCGUGCGUAGGUGGUGGUUUAAGUCCGUUGUGAAAGCCCUGGGCUCAACCUGGGAAUUGCAGUGGAUACUGGGUCACUAGAGUGUGGUAGAGGAUAGUGGAAUUUCCGGUGUAGCAGUGAAAUGCGUAGAGAUCGGAAGGAACAUCUGUGGCGAAGGCGACUAUCUGGGCCAACACUGACACUGAGGCACGAAAGCGUGGGGAGCAAACAGGAUUAGAUACCCCUGUAGUCCCUGUCUCUUAUAC
RNAcentral lists this ribosomal RNA (303 nucleotides) under uncultured bacterium. RNAcentral's name for it is "partial 16S ribosomal RNA". It matches the Rfam family "Bacterial small subunit ribosomal RNA", at positions 507 to 807 of the family's 1533-position model. The record is from RNAcentral.